Molecule: ribosomal RNA, 619 nt
Filed under: Bacillus sp. MT15II
Lineage: Bacteria; Bacillati; Bacillota; Bacilli; Caryophanales; Bacillaceae
Description: bacterial SSU rRNA
Rfam family: Bacterial small subunit ribosomal RNA
Source: RNAcentral
UUAGUGUUGCAGUUAAUGCAUUAAGCAUUCUGCUUGGGGAGUACGGUUGCAAGAUUGAAACUCAAAGGAAUUGACGGGGGCCCGCACAAGCGGUGGAGCAUGUGGUUUAAUUGGAAGCAACGCGAAGAACCUUACCAGGUCUUGACAUCCCGUUGACCACUGUAGAGAUAUGGUUUCCCCUUCGGGGGCAACGGUGACAGGUGGUGCAUGGUUGUCGUCAGCUCGUGUCGUGAGAUGUUGGGUUAAGUCCCGCAACGAGCGCAACCCUUGAUCUUAGUUGCCAUCAUUUAGUUGGGCACUCUAAGGUGACUGCCGGUGACAAACCGGAGGAAGGUGGGGAUGACGUCAAAUCAUCAUGCCCCUUAUGACCUGGGCUACACACGUGCUACAAUGGACGAUACAAACGGUUGCCAACUCGCGAGAGGGAGCUAAUCCGAUAAAGUCGUUCUCAGUUCGGAUUGUAGGCUGCAACUCGCCUACAUGAAGCCGGAAUCGCUAGUAAUCGCGGAUCAGCAUGCCGCGGUGAAUACGUUCCCGGGCCUUGUACACACCGCCCGUCACACCACGAGAGUUUGUAACACCCGAAGUCGGUGAGGUAACCUUUGGAGCCAGCCGCCGA